UCGAAUCUUUGAACGCACAUUGCGCCCUCUGGUAUUCCGGAGGGCAUGCCUGUUCGAGCGUCAUUUCAACCCUCAAGCCUGGCUUGGUGUUGGGGCACUGCCUGUAAAAGGGCAGGCCCUGAAAUCUAGUGGCGAGCUCGCUAGGACCCCGAGCGUAGUAGUUAUAUCUCGUUCUGGAAGGCCCUGGCGGUGCCCUGCCGUUAAACCCCCAACUUCUGAAAUUUUGACCUCGGAUCAGGUAGGAAUACCCGCUGAACUUAAGCAUAUCAAUAAGCGGAGGAAAAGAAACCAACAGGGAUUGCCCUAGUAACGGCGAGUGAAGCGGCAACAGCUCAAAUUUGAAAUCUGGCCUCGGCCCGAGUUGUAAUUUGCAGAGGAUGCUUCUGGCGCGGUGCCUUCCGAGUUCCCUGGAACGGGACGCCACAGAGGGUGAGAGCCCCGUAUGGUCGGACACCAAGCCUGUGUGAAGCUCCUUCGACGAGUCGAGUAGUUUGGGAAUGCUGCUCUAAAUGGGAGGUAAAUCUCUUCUAAAGCUAAAUACCGGCCAGAGACCGAUAGCGCACAAGUAGAGUGAUCGAAAGAUGAAAAGCACCUUGAAAAGGGGGUUAAAUAGUACGUGAAAUUGUUGAAAGGGAAGCACUUAUGACCAGACUUGGGCCGGGCGGCUCAUCNGGGGUUCUCCCCUGUGCACUCCGCCCGGCACAGGCCAGCAUCGGUUUUCGCGGGGGGAUAAGACCGUCGGGAACGUAGCACCCUCCNGGGUGUGUUAUAGCCUGGCGGACGAUACCCUCGCGGGGACCGAGGUCCGCGCUCCGCAAGGAUGCUGGCGUAAUGGUCAUCAGUGACCCGUCUUGAAACACGGACCAAGGAGUCGUCCAUUAGAGCGAGCGUUUGGGUGUAAAACCCGCACGCGUAAUGAAAGUGAACGCAGGUGAGAGCUUCGGCGCAUCAUCGACCGAUCCUGAUGUUCUCGGAAGGAUUUGAGUAAGAGUUUUAACGGACGGACCCGAAAGACAGUGAACUAUGCUUGUAUAGGGUGAAGCCAGAGGAAACUCUGGUGGAGGCUCGCAGCGGUUCUGACGUGCAAAUCGAUCGUCAAAUAUGAGCAUGGGGGCGAAAGACUAAUCGAACUGUCUAGUAGCUGGUUACCGCCGAAGUUUCCCUCAGGAUAGCAGUGUUGAUCUUCAGUUUUAUGAGGUAAAGCGAAUGAUUAGGGACUCGGGGGCGCUAUAUUGCCUUCAUCCAUUCUCAAACUUUAAAUAUGUAAGAAGCCCUUGUUACUUAGUUGAACGUGGGCAUUCGAAUGUACCAACACUAGUGGGCCAUUUUUGGUAAGCAGAACUGGCGAUGCGGGAUGAACCGAACGCGGGGUUAAGGCGCCAGAGUGUACGCUCAUCAGACACCACAAAAGGCGUUAGUACAUCUUGACAGCAGGACGGUGGCCAUGGAAGUCGGAAUCCGCUAAGGACUGUGUAACAACUCACCUGCCGAAUGUACUAGCCCUGAAAA
Molecule: ribosomal RNA, 1509 nt
Filed under: fungal endophyte sp. P815A
Lineage: Eukaryota; Fungi
Description: eukaryotic LSU rRNA
Rfam family: Eukaryotic large subunit ribosomal RNA (bases 225-1509)
Source: RNAcentral